Molecule: ribosomal RNA, 253 nt
Filed under: uncultured bacterium
Lineage: Bacteria
Description: partial 16S ribosomal RNA
Rfam family: Bacterial small subunit ribosomal RNA
Source: RNAcentral
GACGGGGGAUGCAAGCGUUAUCCGGAAUCACUGGGCGUAAAGCGUCUGUAGGUGGUGAUGCAAGUCACUGGAGCAAAACUCUGGCUCAACCGGAGAAGAGCCAGUGAAACUGCAUGACUAGAGUGUGGGAGAGGUAGAAGGAAUUCCCUGAGUAGCGGUGAAAUGCGUAGAUACAGGGAAGAACACCGGAGGCGAAAGCGUUCUACUGGAACACAACUGACACUGAGAGACGAAAGCUAGGGGAGCGAAUGGG